UCAAGUGACUAAGAGCACAUGGCGGAUGUCUUGGCGUCAAGAGGCGAUGAAGGACGUGGGAACCUGCGAAAAGUUCAGGGGAGCCGGUAACCAGGCUGUGAUCCUGAAAUGUCCGAAUGGGGAAACCCGGCCGUAAGGUCACUCUUACCUGAAUGCAUAGGGUAAGAGAGCGAACCUGGGGAACUGAAACAUCUAAGUACCCAGAGGAAAGGAAAUCAACCGAGACUCCGUGAGUAGCGGCGAGCGAAAGCGGAUUGCGACUUAAGUCAGUGAACGCGUUGGAAAGCGCGGCCAAAGAAGGUGAUAGCCCUGUAGUUGGAUGAUGUCGCUCAGCCCUAGAGUAGCGUCGGUGUCGUGAAACCCGGCGUGAACAUGGGGGGUCCACCCUCCAAGGCUAAGUACUACUUGACGACCGAUAGUUAACCAGUAAGGCGACUGAAUGAUGAAAACUACCCCUGCUAGGGGUGUGAAAGAGUAGCUGAAACCAUGUGCUUACACAGCGGUCAGAGCCCUUCGGGGUGAUGGCGUGCCUUUUGCAUAAUGACCCGGCGAGUUACUCUCAUUGGCGAGGUUAAGGCCUAGCGGGCCGAAGCCGAAGCGAAAGCGAGUCUGAAAUAGGCGUUGAGUCGAUGGGAGUAGACGCGAAACCUUGUGAUCUACCCAUGGCCAGGUUGAAGUUUUGGUAACACAAAAUGGAGGACCGAACCAGUACACGUUGAAAAGUGUUUGGAUGAGCUGUGGGUAGGGGUGAAAGGCCAAUCAAACUGGGAAAUAGCUCGUACUCCCCGAAAUGCAUUUAGGUGCAGCGUUGAGAUGAGUUUUAUAGAGGUAGAGCUACUGAUAGGGCUAGGGGGCUUCACCGCCUACCAAACCCUGACAAACUCCGAAUGCUAUAACAUAUACACGGCAGUGAGGGCAUGGGUGCUAAGGUCCAUGUCCGAGAGGGAAAGAACCCAGACCAUCAGCUAAGGUCCCAAAAUAUGUGCUAAGUUGACAAAACGAGGUCAAGCUGCUUUGACAGCUAGGAUGUUGGCUUGGAAGCAGCCAUUCAUUUAAAGAGUGCGUAACAGCUCACUAGUCGAGCGGCAUGGCAUGGAUAAUAAUCGGGCAUUAAGUACAUUACCGAAGCUAUGGGUAGAAAUACGGUAGGGGAGCAUUCCAAGGGUGUUGAAGGUGAGCUGCGAGGCUUGCUGGAACGCUUGGAAAAGCAAAUGUAGGCAUAAGUAACGAUAAGACAGGUGAGAAACCUGUCCGCCGAAAGACCAAGGAUUCCUCAGCUAUGCUAAUCAGCUGAGGGUUAGUCGGGACCUAACGCGAACCCGAAAGGGGUAGUGGAUGGCAAACAGGUUAAUAUUCCUGUACCUGCUCCUAAUGAAAGUGACGGAUCUCCGAGGUGCACACGUGGUGACGGAAGUCCACGUUGAGCCUAGCCUUCGGGCGAAGCGAGUGUAAGUAAGAGGUUCCUAGAAAAGCGAAGGAAGCAGCCCGUACCCCAAACCGACACAGGUGGUUGGGAUGAGUAUUCUAAGG
RNAcentral lists this ribosomal RNA (1530 nucleotides) under Scrippsiella trochoidea. RNAcentral describes it as "partial Bacterial large subunit ribosomal RNA". It matches the Rfam family "Bacterial large subunit ribosomal RNA", at positions 3 to 1686 of the family's 2925-position model. The record is from RNAcentral. Lineage: Eukaryota; Dinophyceae; Peridiniales; Peridiniaceae.